This 253-nucleotide ribosomal RNA is filed under the name uncultured bacterium. RNAcentral describes it as "partial 16S ribosomal RNA". It matches the Rfam family "Bacterial small subunit ribosomal RNA", at positions 524 to 776 of the family's 1533-position model. The record is from RNAcentral.
UACAGUGGGGGCAAGCGUUGUUCGGAAUUACUGGGCGUAAAGGGCUUGUAGGUGGCCAAUUAAGUCAGACGUGAAAUCCCUCAGCUUAACUGGGGAACUGCGUCUGAUACUGGAUGGCUUGAGUUUGGGAGAGGGAUGCGGAAUUCCAGGUGUAGCGGUGAAAUGCGUAGAUAUCUGGAGGAACACCGGUGGCGAAGGCGGCAUCCUGGACCAACACUGACACUGAAAAGCGAAAGCCAGGGGAGCAAACGGG